CAGUCGCCACGGUAAUACGUAGGGGGCGAGCGUUGUCCGAAUUUACUGGGCGUAAAGAGCAUUAAGGCGGUUUCUUAAGUGAGAGGUGAAAGGUUCAGGGCUUAACCCGAACACUGCCUUUCAUACUGGGAGACUUGAGUACGGGAGAGGCGAGUGGAAUUUCUGGUGUAGCGGUGAAAUGCGUAGAUAUCAGAAGGAACACCAGUGGCGAAGGCGACUCUCUGGUCUGUAACUGACGCUGAGGAGCGAAAGCGUGGGGAGCGAACAGGAUUAGAUACCCGCGUAGUCCCUGUCUCUUAUA
Molecule: ribosomal RNA, 301 nt
Filed under: uncultured bacterium
Lineage: Bacteria
Description: partial 16S ribosomal RNA
Rfam family: Bacterial small subunit ribosomal RNA
Source: RNAcentral